Molecule: ribosomal RNA, 909 nt
Filed under: uncultured bacterium
Lineage: Bacteria
Description: bacterial SSU rRNA
Rfam family: Bacterial small subunit ribosomal RNA
Source: RNAcentral
AGAGUUUGAUCAUGGCUCAGGAUGAACGCUAGCGGCGGGCCUAAUACAUGCAAGUCGAGGGGCAGCACGAGUAGCAAUACUUGGUGGCGACCGGCGCACGGGUGCGUAACGCGUAUGCAACCUACCCAUAACACGGGAAUAGCCCGAAGAAAUUCGGAUUAAUACUCGAUAGUAUCACUUGAUGGCAUCUGAAGGUGAUUAAAGAUUUAUCGGUUAUGGAUGGGCAUGCGUCUGAUUAGCUAGUUGGUGAGGUAACUGCUCACCAAGGCUACGAUCAGUAGGGGUUCUGAGAGGAUGAUCCCCCACACCGGUACUGAGACACGGACCGGACUCCUACGGGAGGCAGCAGUAAGGAAUAUUGGUCAAUGGACGCAAGUCUGAACCAGCCACGCCGCGUGCAGGAAGACGGCCCUAUGGGUUGUAAACUGCUUUUGUUUGGGAAGAAACCCCUUUUGCGAAGGGGACUGACGGUACCAGACGAAUAAGCACCGGCUAACUCCGUGCCAGCAGCCGCGGUAAUACGGAGGGUGCAAGCGUUAUCCGGAUUUAUUGGGUUUAAAGGGUGCGUAGGCGGCCUGUUAAGUCAGAGGUGAAAGUCGGUAGCUCAACUAUCGAAUUGCCUUUGAUACUGGCAGGCUCGAAUGAAGUUGAAGAGGGCGGAAUGUGACAUGUAGCGGUGAAAUGCUUAGAUAUGUCCCAGAACACCGAUUGCGAAGGCAGCUCUCUAAGCUUGUAUUGACGCUGAUGCACGAAAGCGUGGGGAUCAAACAGGAUUAGAUACCCUGGUAGUCCACGCCGUAAACGAUGAUCACUCGCUGUUGGCGAUACACAGUCAGCGGCCAAGCGAAAGCGAUAAGUGAUCCACCUGGGGAGUACGAUCGCAAGGUUGAAACUUAAAGGAAUUGACGG